This 69-nucleotide transfer RNA is filed under the name Ictidomys tridecemlineatus (thirteen-lined ground squirrel). RNAcentral's name for it is "Spermophilus tridecemlineatus (thirteen-lined ground squirrel) tRNA". It matches the Rfam family "tRNA". From Rfam's summary of the family: Transfer RNA (tRNA) molecules are approximately 80 nucleotides in length. The record is from Rfam by way of RNAcentral. Lineage: Eukaryota; Metazoa; Chordata; Mammalia; Rodentia; Sciuridae.
GGAGUUGUAGCUCAGUGGUAGAGCGCUUGCCUAGCAUGUGUGAGGCCCUGGGUUCGAUCCUCAACACCA